CUUUCUUCAUCUUACUUCUUCCUCGUUCGGCUCGUUUCUGUUCCUUUCAAGUGCACAGUUCAGGCCUCUCUCAACUCAGUGCCUUUUAUCUUUAUGUAAAAAUAAUUACAUUUUUUUAUUUUUGAAUUUUAUUUAAUACUAUUUACCAGCUGGUUGACAAGAAAUAGGAUAAAUAAUGGAUGAUUUAGAUGAGGAUUUGGCCGGCUUACCUGGUGAUACGAAGGAAAAAGAGGAGGUAAUCAAUGACGAAUUCGUAGCAAGGGAC
Nilaparvata lugens (brown planthopper) is the source of this 265-nucleotide long non-coding RNA. RefSeq lists it as uncharacterized. Lineage: Eukaryota; Metazoa; Arthropoda; Insecta; Hemiptera; Delphacidae. The transcript is spliced from 3 exons. The record is from RefSeq and is a predicted model, not a curated record.